This 497-nucleotide ribosomal RNA is filed under the name uncultured bacterium. Its description in RNAcentral is "partial 16S ribosomal RNA". It matches the Rfam family "Bacterial small subunit ribosomal RNA", at positions 28 to 507 of the family's 1533-position model. The record is from RNAcentral.
GACGAACGCUGGCGGCGUGCCUAAUACAUGCAAGUAGAACGCUGAAGAGAGGAGCUUCCUCUUCUUGGAUGAGUUGCGAACGGGUGAGUAACGCGUAGGUAACCUGCCUUGUAGCGGGGGAUAACUAUUGGAAACGAUAGCUAAUACCGCAUAACAAUGGAUGACACAUGUCAUUUAUUUGAAAGGGGCAAUUGCUCCACUACAAGAUGGACCUGCGUUGUAUUAGCUAGUAGGUGAGGUAAUGGCUCACCUAGGCGACGAUACAUAGCCGACCUGAGAGGGUGAUCGGCCACACUGGGACUGAGACACGGCCCAGACUCCUACGGGAGGCAGCAGUAGGGAAUCUUCGGCAAUGGGGGCAACCCUGACCGAGCAACGCCGCGUGAGGGAAGAAGGUUUUCGGAUCGUAAAGCUCGGUUGUAAGUCAAGAACGGGUGUGAGAGUGGAAAGUUCACACUGUGACGGUAGCUUACCAGAAAGGGACGGCUAACUACGUG